AGAGUUUGAUCAUGGCUCAGAUUGAACGCUGGCGGCAGGCCUAACACAUGCAAGUCGAACGGUAACAGGAAGCAGCUUGCUGCUUCGCUGACGAGUGGCGGACGGGUGAGUAAUGUCUGGGAAACUGCCUGAUGGAGGGGGAUAACUACUGGAAACGGUGGCUAAUACCGCAUAACGUCGCAAGACCAAAGAGGGGGACCUUCGGGCCUCUUGCCAUCAGAUGUGCCCAGAUGGGAUUAGCUUGUUGGUGAGGUAACGGCUCACCAAGGCGACGAUCCCUAGCUGGUCUGAGAGGAUGACCAGCCACACUGGAACUGAGACACGGUCCAGACUCCUACGGGAGGCAGCAGUGGGGAAUAUUGCACAAUGGGCGCAAGCCUGAUGCAGCCAUGCCGCGUGUAUGAAGAAGGCCUUCGGGUUGUAAAGUACUUUCAGCGGGGAGGAAGGUGUUGUGGUUAAUAACCACAGCAAUUGACGUUACCCGCAGAAGAAGCACCGGCUAACUCCGUGCCAGCAGCCGCGGUAAUACGGAGGGUGCAAGCGUUAAUCGGAAUUACUGGGCGUAAAGCGCACGCAGGCGGUCUGUCAAGUCGGAUGUGAAAUCCCCGGGCUCAACCUGGGAACUGCAUUCGAAACUGGCAGGCUUGAGUCUUGUAGAGGGGGGUAGAAUUCCAGGUGUAGCGGUGAAAUGCGUAGAGAUCUGGAGGAAUACCGGUGGCGAAGGCGGCCCCCUGGACAAAGACUGACGCUCAGGUGCGAAAGCGUGGGGAGCAAACAGGAUUAGAUACCCUGGUAGUCCACGCCGUAAACGAUGUCUACUUGGAGGUUGUGCCCUUGAGGCGUGGCUUCCGGAGCUAACGCGUUAAGUAGACCGCCUGGGGAGUACGGCCGCAAGGUUAAAACUCAAAUGAAUUGACGGGGGCCCGCACAAGCGGUGGAGCAUGUGGUUUAAUUCGAUGCAACGCGAAGAACCUUACCUGGUCUUGACAUCCACGGAAGUUUUCAGAGAUGGACUGGUGCCUUCGGGAACUGUGAGACAGGUGCUGCAUGGCUGUCGUCAGCUCGUGUUGUGAAAUGUUGGGUUAAGUCCCGCAACGAGCGCAACCCUUAUCCUUUGUUGCCAGCGGUUCGGCCGGGAACUCAAAGGAGACUGCCAGUGAUAAACUGGAGGAAGGUGGGGAUGACGUCAAGUCAUCAUGGCCCUUACGACCAGGGCUACACACGUGCUACAAUGGCGCAUACAAAGAGAAGCGACCUCGCGAGAGCAAGCGGACCUCAUAAAGUGCGUCGUAGUCCGGAUUGGAGUCUGCAACUCGACUCCAUGAAGUCGGAAUCGCUAGUAAUCGUGGAUCAGAAUGCCACGGUGAAUACGUUCCCGGGCCUUGUACACACCGCCCGUCACACCAUGGGAGUGGGUUGCAAAAGAAGUAGGUAGCUUAACCUUCGGGAGGGCGCUUACCACUUUGUGAUUCAUGACUGGGGUGAAGUCGUAACAAGGUAACCGUAGGGGAACCUGCGGUUGGAUCACCU
Molecule: ribosomal RNA, 1530 nt
Filed under: Salmonella enterica subsp. enterica serovar Weltevreden str. 2007-60-3289-1
Lineage: Bacteria; Pseudomonadati; Pseudomonadota; Gammaproteobacteria; Enterobacterales; Enterobacteriaceae
Description: bacterial SSU rRNA
Rfam family: Bacterial small subunit ribosomal RNA
Source: RNAcentral